GCGGGCGUAGUUCAGUGGUAGAACUUCAGCUUCCCAAGCUGAUAGCGCGAGUUCGAUUCUCGUCGCCCGCU
Molecule: transfer RNA, 71 nt
Filed under: Nakamurella flava
Lineage: Bacteria; Bacillati; Actinomycetota; Actinomycetes; Nakamurellales; Nakamurellaceae
Also listed under: 1 other name
Rfam family: tRNA
About the family: Transfer RNA (tRNA) molecules are approximately 80 nucleotides in length.
Source: Rfam by way of RNAcentral